RNAcentral lists this ribosomal RNA (279 nucleotides) under uncultured bacterium. Its description in RNAcentral is "partial 16S ribosomal RNA". It matches the Rfam family "Bacterial small subunit ribosomal RNA", at positions 506 to 784 of the family's 1533-position model. The record is from RNAcentral.
UGCCAGCCGCCGCGGUAAUACGAAGGGAGCUAGCGUAGUUCGGAAUUACUGGGCUUAAAGAGUUCGUAGGUGGUUGAAAAAGUCGGUGGUGAAAUCCCAGAGCUUAACUCUGGAACUGCCUUCAAAACUACAUUUCUUGAGUUUGGUAGAGGAGAGUGGAAUUCCUAGUGUAGAGGUGAAAUUCGUAGAUAUUACACAGAAUACCAAUUGCGAAGGCAGAUUACUAACAAUUAACUGACGCUGAGGGACGAAAGCGUGGGUAGCGAACAGGAUUAGAUA